RNAcentral lists this long non-coding RNA (1129 nucleotides) under Monodelphis domestica (gray short-tailed opossum). Its description in RNAcentral is "lncRNA (ENSMODG00000044045.1)". The record is from RNAcentral. Lineage: Eukaryota; Metazoa; Chordata; Mammalia; Didelphimorphia; Didelphidae.
UUUAUUAAUGAUCAUUAAUAAUUAGAAUUCAUUAAUUAAUAUUAAUAUUUAAUUAACAUUAAAGGAUGGUUUUAGAAUAUAAAGAAAAGAAUGUGAGUUAAUGUGCCUUGUACCACUUACCAUAAACAUUAAUUAGGCUAUAGCAAAAUUGUAUAUACCUUUAGAAUUCCUCCCCUUCCAUUAGGUAUAAUGCUGAUUUCCCCCCCUCAAAUUUAAUCAACAUACAGGAGUAAAUUUGAACAUAUGAGAUACAUUGUGAAUGGAAAUAUUAUUCUUGUGUAUCUUGGGGUCUAACACUAAGAUAAAAAGAAUUUUUAAGGGGCGUAUCAAUUAAUGUCAAAAGACUGAUCAAGAAAACUAAUUUUUCUAAAUAAAAUUAACACACCACUGUACUUUGAAAUUAUUUAUAUUUUGUUGCCCAUGCACUUAAAUUUUUUUUUAAUUUUUUUCAAGUAAAGAUCGAAUAUUUUCUUGUUCAAGAAGCUUGUUGAUAGCUUUUAAUCUUCUCUGUGAAAAAAUGAUGCAAAGAAGAGUCCAGAACCUCGAUUUAUUUUCUUGUCAAAUAGACAAAGGGGACAACGAACUGGGGCUUUGUACUUGUAUCUUCUUUGAUCCAGCAGAUGAGGAUGGAAAGGAACCAGGGGUUUUUAUAACUGAAAUUAUUGAAGGAGGUGCAGUUCACAAACUUGGAUGUAUCCGUGUAUUUGACCAGAUUAUUAAAAUAGGUGACAUCAAUCUAAUUGGAUUGGAUGAAGCAGAAAUCGUCUCUACUUUUAAAAAAAUGGACGAUUCUCCUUUCCAGAUUGAAAUUGGCCGCGAACCACCUAAAGUGAAGUCAGAACUUAUCGAACUCCUCGAGUUGUCAGAGGAAAGGAAGAAAUAUUUUAUGGAUUCGCUCAUAGUACAGGGAAAAAUUAGAGAUAUCACUAUUGUGAGAGGACAAGCAAGUAUUUGUAGAAGUCCAAGAGUACUAUGGUACUGGAUGGCCAGGUAUAUAUAUAGAUAUAUAUAUAGGUAUAAAGAUAUAUAUGUAAGCUUUUAUUGAGUAUGUAAACUAGUGGUUUUUUUAGACAAAACUUAGUGAAAGGUUAAUAAUAAAACAACAAUAUGCUUUUGCCUCUAAAUUCCA